Molecule: long non-coding RNA, 651 nt
Organism: Polypterus senegalus (gray bichir)
Lineage: Eukaryota; Metazoa; Chordata; Cladistia; Polypteriformes; Polypteridae
Exons: 2
Source: RefSeq, a predicted model, not a curated record
CUUCAGAGAGAUUCAAGGAAGGACCAUCCAGCUUCUCAAUAAAAGUGACAGCGCAGCACUACAGCAAAGAAGCAGAGGAGACAGACAAGAUACAAGAUACAGACCAGUGGAGCUCCCUCAAGAGGGCGAAUGCAACAGUCAGAAGAGGGCAGCAGCGCGCACGUUGUCACCGAUAACUCAACAACAACAACAACAACUUACAAAAAUGAAUAAGGACAAUACAAAAAAAACAAGAUGGGGCAAGAAAAAAAGUCAAGAACGGUAAGGGAAGAAAGGGGCAGAAGUGAAGCCAACAAGUUAAAGGUGACCACCUGGGUUUUAUUGGGGGAUGCCCGGGGGUUCCUUUUGUUGAGUUGUGCAGAUGCUUAAAUGUAGAAAGUGGGUUCACAUCCUGACUCAAGACGGGGGUUCACCUUUUCAGCAACGUUGACCCAACAAAUCAAGCUGAAAAAUGUCAGGUCGAUGACACAAGAAGAACUACCAAGGAUGUGAGGGGGCAAUGUAGCGCGCCAUCCUGAAUGAAAGAACCAGCUGCAGAGUUUAAAAAGAAGCAGUUUUACCUGUCAUGGCAGAGAGGAUGUGAUCGCCGGUUUCAGACUUUUUCUCAAGGCCUGGAACACCAAGCAUACAGGGUGUAACCCACUGGAGCGA